Molecule: long non-coding RNA, 245 nt
Filed under: Setaria viridis
Lineage: Eukaryota; Viridiplantae; Streptophyta; Magnoliopsida; Poales; Poaceae
Description: long non-coding RNA (SVIR_LNC000153)
Source: RNAcentral
ACGAGUAGUAUAGGUAGUAUAAGGGCAUUAGGGUAAAAAAUGCAAAUAACAUCACUAUAAUUUUUAUUUUUGACACAAGUUCCAUUCCAUUUGAAAUAUCACAUCUUACAAUAUAAUAAUUACUAAAUUAUCUAUAAUAAUGAACAAUUAUAUAUAAUAAUGAACAAUUAUACCUUAUAGAUACUAUAUAUUUCGGAAAAAAAUUAUAAAUACUAUAUACCACUGAGUAGUACUCCCUCCAUCCC